RNAcentral lists this transfer RNA (69 nucleotides) under bovine gut metagenome. It matches the Rfam family "tRNA". From Rfam's summary of the family: Transfer RNA (tRNA) molecules are approximately 80 nucleotides in length. The record is from RNAcentral.
GACUUUAGCUCAGUUGGUUAGAGCGUCCGGCUCAUAACCGGAUGGUCCAAGGUUCAAGUCCUUGAAGUC